GAAUAAUCAAGACAAACUUGAAAACCAAGUAGGAUCGAGUUUUGUAUCUUAAAUCUGCAAAAGAAUACAACUAUUUUUCCGAAUCAGCCAAUCAUAAAAAUAGCAAGAAAAUCAUUGCUACUAAAAAAAUUCAAGCUUUUUGCCAAUAGGUAACGGCAGGAAAUGGAUUGAUUUCCUCAUGUAAUAAGUAGAUUAUAACGCCAAAUUUGUGGGAGGGUAAGGCAGAAAGUUGGUUUGUUUCAUUCUUGAUAAGUAAGAAGGGUUUUGGGCUCUUUUCUGUGCUUGGUUUUCCCUGAUCAGAAGCUGCAAGACUCUUUGUCUAGGAAGCCUUGGAUUAAUAUUCUAACACUAUCUUUCGAACACAAAGAGAGUGGCCGGCCCUUUCAAAACUUUGUGUGUCUGCUUAAUUAGAAUAAACCUACAUAAAUAGAGUCCGUUGAAGCAGUAAUUUUCAAGAGAAACGAAAAUCAGCAGGCAUGACUGUGAGAUGAGUAGCUAACAAGUGGGAAGAGUUUCAUCUCUUUACACACAGCAAGAGGUUCAGUGAGUGCAGAAAGCUCAAACAAACGCAGAAAGGCAAGAAUCAAAGAAAAUAGCUUAGUAGCUAGGAGGAGAUCUGUAUCAGUGCAUAUGUAUAAAAACAAACGACUAUCAAUAAUUCACCAACCAUGUCUUUGUCUGUAGUAGCAAAAAAUUCACCAACCAUGUCUUUGUCGGUGAUAGCAAAUUGAAAUAAAUAUUACAUAUUACAUAUUAAAAUAAAAUAAAAUAAAGCAGGUUCAAAUUUAC
This 789-nucleotide unclassified non-coding RNA is filed under the name Hevea brasiliensis (rubber tree). Lineage: Eukaryota; Viridiplantae; Streptophyta; Magnoliopsida; Malpighiales; Euphorbiaceae. The record is from RNAcentral.